GGACACUGGAGGCAAUGAAUUCUAUCAGGAAGUGAUCAAGCAACCAGAUCCUCCUAUUUUUUAGGUCAACAGUCUUGAAGAAUCAAUCGAUGAAGCAUUAGUCGUUGAUGAAUUUCCUAUUAACCCAAGCACUUGCCAAGUUCACCCAAUACACAAAUCCUGGCAUCCCAUAGAAUUGAAACGUGCUCCUGAAAGACAUCGAUUGCAGGGUCAAGUUUCAAGCAUAGCAAUAUUCGAAGAUAUUUAAAAUGCAGCACCGGAAAGCGAAAACAUAAAAAUAAUUUUGAAACGACCCGCCCCGAAUUCCCCUAGGCGAGUCUAUCUAGUCUCAUUAAAACGGACUUGAUAAUAAUUUUAUUCGUAAGGAUUCUGCCGAAAAUUCGACAAAGUCUCCUUUAUAUAUAUAACACUCCCAAUCUACAAAUAUGAAUAUAAUAUUCCCAAUACAAGUCAAUAUACAACAAACUCCAGUGCUCAACAUCCUCAACCAAAAUGCUGAGUUUUAUAUCUCCAGAGUCUCAAAAGAUAAUAUUAUAACUAAUAUUAAUAUCUCAAUUUAUUCUUAAUCCCAAAAGAAUAAUAUAACAAAAGUAUACACUCCCAAAAGAACAAGAUGACCAAGAUGUCCUAACAAAAACAUCUAUAUCUUCUAACACCAUCACGUGGCCAAGACUCAAAAUAUAUUUACAGUCGCUGGGUCGGUCUGGUGUACCUGCAAUCUCCUGGUGAGGGGGGAAAAUAUAAUAAAAACAGGAUAAGUCUAAAACUCAGUGAGAUCAGUGAGUGGAUAGUAGUUUUGAAAAUUAAUUCUUACUUUAAAAGAAAUAAUCAUACUAUUUCCAAACACGAUUUCAUUAAACCAUAAGCGAGAAACCAGUAAUAAAUCAUUAAACAUUUCAAUCAGAUUACUAACCAUGGAAAUCAUAUCAUAAUAGAAUUCAUAAAUCUGAAAAUCAUCACCAAACAAGUACCCAGGGAAAUAAUCUCGUCAUAUCCAGACCUCAACGAACAGGCAAUGACGUACUAUCUGGGUAACGUCACGCCCCAGAGCUACACGGAUAGACAUUGAAAUACUAUAUCAUAUCUCAUCAUAUAUGUGCAUGCAUAAUCUAGUCCCCAAGGGACAAAAGCGCCCAAGCACACGGCCCAAAGCUUCUGUGUGUACUCAGACGGGCCCCAAAGGCCUGUAUCUCAUCUGUAUCAUUUGUAUCUCAAUAUAUGUCUGUAUCUCAUAUCUGUAUCUCUGUAAUCAUCAUACCGCAUGCAUAUGCCCCCAAAAGGCAAAAGCGCCCAAACACACGGCCCAAAGCCUCUAUGUGUGUUCAGACGGGCCCCAAAGGCCUCUCAUCUCAUCUGUAUCACAUGUAUCUGGAGGGAAAUGUACUGUCUAAUGAUUUCAAAAACAAUCAUUAUACUCAUAUUCACAUACAUUUUAAUCAUACUUUAAAUCAUACCACAUUUGAAUCCACGUUUCUUAUCUUUAAAAUAUUAUCAUGCUUUAUUCAAAGUCGAUACGCAAAAUCAAUAACCAAACAUUUUAAUAAAAUACCAAUGCGUAAAUAAAAAUUCAUUUCGAGGAAAUCAUUAAAUCAGAACAUUUAAAAUACUUAUUUCACAAACAUGCAUUACUAUCAUAAUUAACUAUGAAAAUAGGUUUUGUAUAUUCCACUCACAGUGACAGUGUUCACGGUCGGUUAUCGUCCACGUCCGCGGAUCAGUUCUCGCUCGCGGAUCCUCCUAAAUCAAGGAAACGACAUAAUUAUUUUCCGUAAAUCAGAAUUACGACUAAAUUUAUGCAAUAAACUCGAAACGAACAUCUAUCCAUAAUUGACAACUCCCGUGUCCAUAAAAUUACUAAAAUGCCCUUGAGUCCGUAAAUCAUUAACACAUACUCUGAAAUCGUACAUCACCGAAUUAUCUUCGGAAUCGUAAUUACACUCACUCCUCAAUUCUAUGAAUUACUAAAAUAUCCACAGGCUCAGAAAUUACAAAAUUGCCAUCAUAGUGUGAAAUUACCAAAAUGCCCUUGCCGGUCAACGGUCACCGGAAUUUGGUCAACGCUGGCUAGGAAGCUCAAAUCUGAAAGUUCCAAUCACGCUGAGUUCAAUGGUACCGGCGGUGAGCUCCAACGCGCGGCAACGGCGCCGGAAUCGAGCUCGGCAGCCGUGAAUUCCAACAAUCGACCGGCGGCAAAACAGUGACUCUCGGUGCCUAUGGAUGGUCGGAAAUGGAAGAGGGAGUCGUGGGGAACAAGAUCCAACCGGUGGUGUCACCCAAAACAGGCGAAAAUCCCGGCGGAGUAAAGUGAAACAGUCGCGGGUUUCAAGCUUCGAUAGCCGGCGUUCCGAUUGUUUUUCGGCGGCUAGAAUGGCAGGGGAGCGACGUUCCGCUUCUAAGCUUCAGAUUGGUACCAAGAUCGGCCGAAACGGUGGCCGGAAAUGGGAGAUAUGGUCGGGCCACGUUUGCGGGUCGGGUCGGGUCGGGUUGUCGGGUCUGUAGUUGGGUCGGUUUGGCAGCUUCUCUCACACGUGCAUGUGUCUGUUUUUGCUCUGUUUUCCAGCUUAUUCUUUUACUUAUAAACUCCUUAACCGCCUCAUUUUCAUUUUGAAAUUCACAUAUGUUACAAAUUUCUCCACAAACUUCAAGAUUGAAGCCUCAUUAGAUUGUACGAUGUGUGUGUGUGUGUGUGUGUGUGAAGAUUUUAAACUCAA
RNAcentral lists this long non-coding RNA (2711 nucleotides) under Citrus maxima (pomelo). RNAcentral describes it as "long non-coding RNA (CMAX_LNC002623)". Lineage: Eukaryota; Viridiplantae; Streptophyta; Magnoliopsida; Sapindales; Rutaceae. The record is from RNAcentral.